RNAcentral lists this ribosomal RNA (1535 nucleotides) under uncultured bacterium. RNAcentral describes it as "bacterial SSU rRNA". It matches the Rfam family "Bacterial small subunit ribosomal RNA". The record is from RNAcentral.
AGAGUUUGAUCCUGGCUCAGGACGAACGCUGGCGGCGUGCCUAACACAUGCAAGUCGAGCGGAGAAUGCAGAAAUGUUUACAUGGAAGCGUUCUUAGCGGCGGACGGGUGAGUAACACGUGGGUAACCUGCCUCAAAGUGGGGGAUAGCCUUCCGAAAGGAAGAUUAAUACCGCAUAAGCCUACAGUGCCGCAUGGCACAGUAGGAAAAGGAGCAAUCCGCUUUGAGAUGGACCCGCGGCGCAUUAGCUAGUUGGUGAGGUAACGGCUCACCAAGGCGACGAUGCGUAGCCGACCUGAGAGGGUGAUCGGCCACAUUGGAACUGAGACACGGUCCAGACUCCUACGGGAGGCAGCAGUGGGGAAUAUUGCACAAUGGGCGAAAGCCUGAUGCAGCAACGCCGCGUGAGUGAUGAAGGCCUUCGGGUCGUAAAGCUCUUUGAUCAGGGAUGAUAAUGACAGUACCUGAAAAACAAGCCACGGCUAACUACGUGCCAGCAGCCGCGGUAAUACGUAGGUGGCGAGCGUUGUCCGGAAUUACUGGGCGUAAAGGAUGCGUAGGUGGAUACUUAAGUGGGAUGUGAAAUCCCCGGGCUCAACCCGGGAACUGCAUUCCAAACUGGGUAUCUAGAGUGCANGAGAGGAAAGCCGGAAUUCCUAGUGUAGCGGUGAAAUGCGUAGAUAUUAGGAGGAACACCAGUGGCGAAGGCNGCUUUCUGGACUGUAACUGACACUGAAGCAUGAAAGCGUGGGUAGCAAACAGGAUUAGAUACCCUGGUAGUCCACCCCGUAAACGAUGGGUACUAGGUGUAGGAAGGUAUCGACCCCUUCUGUGCCCGUCCGUUAACACAAUAAAGUUACCCCGCCCUUGGGGAGUACGGGUCCGCCAAGGACUUAAAACUCAAAAGGAAUUUGACNGGGGGCCCCGCCCAAAGCAGCCGGAAGCAUGUGGUUUAAUUCGAAGCAACGCGAAGAACCUUACCUAGACUUGACAUCUCCUGAAUUACCCUUACCCGGGAAGCCCUUCGGGGCAGGAAGACAGGUGGUGCAUGGUUGUCGUCAGCUCGUGUCGUGAGAUGUUGGGUUAAGUCCCGCAACGAGCGCAACCCUUAUUUUUAGUUGCUACCAUUCAGUUGAGCACUCUAAAGAGACUGCCCGGGUUAACCGGGAGGAAGGUGGGGAUGACGUCAAAUCAUCAUGCCCCUUAUGUCUAGGGCUACACACGUGCUACAAUGGUGAGAACAAAGAGACGCGAGACCGCGAGGUGGAGCAAAUCUCAUAAAACUCAUCCCAGUUCGGAUUGCAGGCUGAAACUCGCCUGCAUGAAGCCGGAGUUGCUAGUAAUCGCGAAUCAGCAUGUCGCGGUGAAUACGUUCCCGGGCCUUGUACACACCGCCCGUCACACCAUGAGAGUUGGCAAUACCCGAAGUCCGUGGGGCAACCAGUAAUGGAGCCAGCGGCCGAAGGUAGGGUCAGCGAUUGGGGUGAAGUCGUAACAAGGUAGCCGUAGGAGAACCUGCGGCUGGAUCACCUCCUU